RNAcentral lists this ribosomal RNA (253 nucleotides) under uncultured bacterium. Its description in RNAcentral is "partial 16S ribosomal RNA". It matches the Rfam family "Bacterial small subunit ribosomal RNA", at positions 524 to 776 of the family's 1533-position model. The record is from RNAcentral.
UACGGGGGGGGCAAGCGUUGUUCGGAAUUACUGGGCGUAAAGGGCUCGUAGGCGGCCAACUAAGUCAGACGUGAAAUCCCUCGGCUUAACCGGGGAACUGCGUCUGAUACUGGAUGGCUUGAGGUUGGGAGAGGGAUGCGGAAUUCCAGGUGUAGCGGUGAAAUGCGUAGAUAUCUGGAGGAACACCGGUGGCGAAGGCGCCCACCUGGCCUGCUACUGACGCUGAAGCUCGAAAGCUAGGGGAGCAAACGGG